This is a long non-coding RNA of Nomia melanderi (Alkali bee), 1428 nucleotides long. RefSeq lists it as uncharacterized. The record is from RefSeq and is a predicted model, not a curated record. NCBI's taxonomy places the organism in Eukaryota, Metazoa, Arthropoda, Insecta, Hymenoptera, Halictidae.
CAAACUGCCGUGUCGGGGCGCUGCCGGCCGCCGCCAUCUUGGAUCGAUCAGUCGGCACUCGAAAAGCGCGCUGGUUUUGAUUCUCGAAUCGCGUGCGCCGCCAUUGUGGGACGAGACGGUGAUCGAGUUUCUUUCAGAUAUCCGUUAUAGCAUUCAAGCGAAGCUAUUUGUUUUCAAGAUCGGUUCGAAUAUUCGGUGCUUUUAAUACUUAGGCAACCGACUAGAAAGAACUGCGGACUAGCUAUACUAUCCUCGGAUCUUAUUUGUAAAGAACUACAACUCGGGCUCGGAGACAGGUCACGGGUGUUGGCAGUUGUGCUGAUAGCACUGGGCGAUUGCGAUGGAUCCCUCGUUAGACUACUGACCAAGGCACUUGUGUCGCUUUGCGUUGAUCCCCGUCGCUGGGAUGUGGCGCUGUCCAUCAUGCCACCAGAAACUUUAAAGAGACAGUGGUAAGAAAUUAAUCUUCAUACUAAUACCUUUAAAUUGGGCACAUGAACGACGUCUCCAUACUGGUCCUUGGUGAAAAUGGUAACAAUAGCCGGCCACCCGCAUUUCAUCUCAUCUUUCGAGUAAAGCACCUCGCACUUCGAGGGAUCCACGAAACUGUCCGGUUGCAGCCAUCUUGCGAGUCGUCCUCCGCUGGUGCCAGCCGUGCACGAGACGAAGUCCCGUAGAAACAAUCGUUCGUUCGAGUGGCAACUGAGAAACAGCAAAAGAAAUCCUACCAUUACACUGUGAAUACCGCUAUCAACGUAGCUAGUUUCCAACAUACGCUUAGCAUUAACUAAUCAACAAGUUCAUCGACGCCGAAGAAAACUGAAUGGAUCGUGAAUGUCAACGAAGGUAAAAAAACGGCACGGAACGGGGCUCGCCGCGGGUUGUCGGACUCGUUAGAACGAGUUUCCGAGUUACAAUGCCCUUAAUUGGCGAUCCGUUCCACGGAUCCCGUCUGGGGAUAGAUCACGAGCAGAGGACGAUGCUCCUCUGCCAGCCAGACAAUCGUUGCUUCCCCUAGCGAGUCAUCGCCGGAGUCAUCCCUAAUAAGGCGCAAUCACAUCGCAAUUCCGUUCGCCGCGGCUCGCCGGAGCGACGGGUUCGCUACCUAUACCACGCCGUCACGCCUCGAACGAUUUCGCCGGUGACGAGCCGCUCGAACGACUUCUUCGAACCCUUUAAACGCGGCCGCCGCCAAACCGGUAUCGAACGAAAGUCGCUGCCACAUUCGAUCCGCACGUCACGCGGAAGAAAUUCAAUCCACUAGAACCGAUAACUGUCAAUUAUCUGCAAAGUUUGAAAGGUCGUCAAACCUGCUGCGGACGGACACCUUAUAGAAUUGUUAUUUUAAAACCCCCAACUGCUGACUUGCGAGAAGGCGGUCUUAAAGCGUCGGGUCAAUCGAAGUAUGUCGGUGUCGUUCGUCAAUAA